GUGCUCGCUUCGGCAGCACAUUUACUAAAAUUGGAACGAUACAGAGAAGAUUAGCAUGGCCCCUGCGCAAGGAUGAUGAUGAAGAAGAAGAGUUUGGAUUUGAUAUC
Molecule: small nuclear RNA, 107 nt
Organism: Podarcis muralis (Common wall lizard)
Lineage: Eukaryota; Metazoa; Chordata; Lepidosauria; Squamata; Lacertidae
Source: Ensembl